CUACGUGCCAGCAGCCGCGGUAAUACGUAGGGCGCGAGCGUUGUCCGGAAUUAUUGGGCGUAAAGAGCUUGUAGGCGGUUUGUCGCGUCUGCUGUGAAAGGCCGGAGCUUAACUCCGUGUAUUGCAGUGGGUACGGGCAGACUAGAGUGCAGUAGGGGAGACUGGAAUUCCUGGUGUAGCGGUGGAAUGCGCAGAUAUCAGGAGGAACACCGAUGGCGAAGGCAGGUCUCUGGGCUGUAACUGACGCUGAGAAGCGAAAGCAUGGGGAGCGAACAGGAUUAGAUACCCUGGUAGUCCAUGCCGUAAACGUUGGGCACUAGGUGUGGGGAACAUUCCACGUUUUCCGCGCCGUAGCUAACGCAUUAAGUGCCCCGCCUGGGAAGUACGGCCGCAAGGCUAAAACUCAAAGAAAUUGACGGGGGCCCGCACAAGCGGCGGAGCAUGCGGAUUAAUUCGAUGCAACGCGAAGAACCUUACCAAGGCU
This 484-nucleotide ribosomal RNA is filed under the name uncultured bacterium. Its description in RNAcentral is "bacterial SSU rRNA". It matches the Rfam family "Bacterial small subunit ribosomal RNA", at positions 501 to 981 of the family's 1533-position model. The record is from RNAcentral.